Macaca mulatta (Rhesus monkey) is the source of this 595-nucleotide non-coding RNA. The record is from RefSeq and is a predicted model, not a curated record. Lineage: Eukaryota; Metazoa; Chordata; Mammalia; Primates; Cercopithecidae.
AAGCUGACUGAUGUCUCCCCUUCCCAGUACCCUACCUCAAGGAACUUUCUGCCCAGCUCUUCCUCUGUUACUACCAGAGCGUCUGUGUGCCGCCCCCCUGUUCGUCAGGCACCCCUUUCCCAGUGCCCUCCUAUCUUCCCCCCUCGCCCUCCUCAUAGCCCUUCCUGCUAGUUUCCUGUACUCUAGUCCCCACUCCCUAUCCAGCCACCCCCAACCAGACCUGACGACUUACAAAUCUCACCCUGGAGAAAUGAUUUCCCUCAUACUGGGGCAGUUCUCAGGAGGUUCAGAAUUGCCAGGACUGUGGAUUCCCAGCAACGACCUGGCAGACACGGGGAAUCCAAGACCAUGGCAAGCGAAUAUUCAGCCUGGCCUGCGCCUUUCCUCUCCUGCCUGGGCAGGCAGACUGCACAAGCGUCUGCAUUUGAACUGGCUUCUCCGUGGAACUUGGUCUGUAACCACAGAGCAAACUGUAGAACCAGGAGCAGAGAAGGUAGGGGAUUGAAAGGCAUCGAAUCUGUUCUCAAGGAGGGAGGUGAUUGGCCAACGUGAGGUCCAGUUUUAUGUUCAUUAUCUCCUGGGUUUGCCAGUUGAU